This 578-nucleotide ribosomal RNA is filed under the name uncultured Bacteroidota bacterium. RNAcentral describes it as "bacterial SSU rRNA". It matches the Rfam family "Bacterial small subunit ribosomal RNA", at positions 338 to 916 of the family's 1533-position model. The record is from RNAcentral. Lineage: Bacteria; Pseudomonadati; Bacteroidota.
CCUACGGGAGGCAGCAGUGAGGAAUAUUGGGCAAUGGAGGCAACUCUGACCCAGCCAUGCCGCGUGCAGGAAGAAUGCCCUAUGGGUUGUAAACUGCUUUUAUUUAGGAAUAAACCCUUCUACGUGUAGAAGGCUGAAUGUACUAAACGAAUAAGCACCGGCUAACUCCGUGCCAGCAGCCGCGGUAAUACGGAGGGUGCAAGCGUUAUCCGGAAUCAUUGGGUUUAAAGGGUCCGCAGGCGGACGUAUAAGUCAGUGGUGAAAUCCUGCAGCUUAACUGCAGAACUGCCAUUGAUACUGUACGUCUUGAAUUCGGUCGAAGUGGGCGGAAUGUGUAGUGUAGCGGUGAAAUGCAUAGAUAUUACACAGAACACCGAUAGCGAAGGCAGCUCACUAGGCCUGGAUUGACGCUCAGGGACGAAAGCGUGGGGAUCAAACAGGAUUAGAUACCCUGGUAGUCCACGCUGUAAACGAUGAUUACUCGUUUUCGGCGAUAUACAGUCGGAGACUAAGCGAAAGUGAUAAGUAAUCCACCUGGGGAGUACGAUCGCAAGGUUGAAACUCAAAGGAAUUGACGG